AUCCAAUCAGUUCAACAAAAGAUCUUUGGUUCAACUGAACAACAGGUUUCUACAGCAGAAAUAUGUUCUUAGCAGAUAGAUAGCUACCUUCGAUUUGUUUGCGGGAAAGAACCUGGCUCAAGUUGGCUCUGUCUUUUUUCCCUGAAAUUGAUAGGAAUAAUUAUAGGCUGGAAACUUAGCUUACAUUGGGCUAGCUUGACAGCUGCAAAGCAGAAGGAGGAAGCAGCAUGCCAAAACGCUAUGGGACGAUUGUUUCUCCACAUAAGGAGCCAAGGGAUGCUGCUAACAGAAGUUCCAGGAGAUUGUCAGGCCAUGGCAAUGAUGCAAUGCUGAAUCAGCAAGGGCAGAAUAAUGUUUCAGAUCAUGAGGGAGGGCAGAGUAACGGAAACUCAACUGCAGUGGAGGAGAUUUACCUUCCACCUCAACUAGGGAGCUCAAAAUGGCAACAGAGAAGAGGUACAGGCAGUGGGGCCAACCUGGACUCAACAGAGAGGUACACUGUGGACAUCAGUAAUACAAGCCUGGAGGUAGAGAGGACAGUGUCGGAGAGUAAAAAAAGCCCCCGCAAAAUGAACCUCCUGCACCGGUCGAGUACAGCCUUGUGCAAACUUGGACUGUCUGAGGCGGAGAUCAAAACGGAGAUAGAGAAUGACAAGUUGGAGCUGGUCAGAGACCUAGUGAAGAUGCCACGUAAGCCAAGAGCCCAGGCCAUACGAUCGCUGCCAGUGAGCUGUGACGAGAAGAGGAACAUUAGGAAUAGAGUGCUCCAAGCAAAGUUUUCCAAAGACUCCGUCAAGCGCACAUGUUGCACAGACUGCUCGGAGCGAGUCUCACUGUCUUUACGCAGGUGGUGGCUGCACGUGUGGCACGGCGCCCUGAAGGAGAUUGGCGGUUGGUUCGACUCGGCCGUCCUCACCUACUUCUGCUUCAUCAAGUGGCUGUUCAUGUUCAACGUCUUCCUGCUGGCCUUCAACCUGAGCUUCAUCACCGUGCCCGAGAUUGUGCACAUGUACAACAGCACCACCAACAGCACCUUUGAAGGCCUGGACCUGCUCACUGCCGCUGGUUACUUUCACAAGUCAAUCAUGUUUUAUGGAGGCUAUAAUGGUGAGGUGAUAAAGGCUGGCUCUUAUGACAUGCAGCUGGCAUAUCUGUUAACCAUGUUAACAUAUAUGAUGCUGUGUGGCAUAUCUAUUGUGUACAGUUUGGGUAAAUCAGUGUGGAAGAACGUGAUUGUUUAUAGCCCUGCCACGGGUGGUGCGUGGCGUCUGUUAUGCAGCUGGGACUUCAGCAUCUUGAAUGAGAAGGCCAUCCACAGCUUCCAGAAGAAGCUGUUUAUCCAGAUCAAGGAGUCCUUAUCGGAUACCACAGAGAAGACUGUGCUUAGUACGCCAGACAGGUUGAGAAAUGUCUCUCUCCAUCUUGCUGCAUGGCUGCUGUACAUUGGCCUGGCGUUUGUCUCCUGUGCUGCUGUCUAUGUUUUGUCCACAUAUAACCUAGAAAUUAAGGUGGCUCUGCAUGCAAGAGACUUGAAAUCUGAGGCCUUUUUUCUGUUUCUGCCAAUUCUGGUUUCGUUCAUCAAUCUGGUGAUUCCUCUGCUCUAUGCAUUCAUCUCCCGAUUAGAAAACUACGAGAACCUCCGUGCAAAGCUGUAUGCCGGCCUGGCCAGAGAUGUCUUGCUGAAGAUGUCGAUUCUGGGAAUCCUGUGUUACUACUGGUUGACUGAUGUACCCAGUAACCUCUCUUGCUGGGAGUCUUUUGUGGGUCAGGAUGUUUACCGAAUGGCCAUCGCUGACUUUCUGUUCAGUGUGCUGGGAUGCGUCUUUGGAGAGUACUUGGGCAGCUUGAUCGGAACCAAGUGCAUGAAAACUCUUAAACCGCCAGAAUUUAAUAUCACUAGAAAUGUUCUCGAUCUGAUCUAUGCCCAGACACUGGUUUGGAUUGGGGUGUAUUUUUCUCCUCUGUUGCCAAUCAUUCAGAUAGUCAAGUUGUUCAUCAUAUUUUACAUGAAGAAGGUGAGCAUCAGUCUGAUCUGCCGGCCGUCCACUCGAGCAGGCCUCGGCGCGGAGAUGAAAACUGCCUUCACAGCGUUGCUCUUCUUCCCCUCGUACAUCGGCUCUUUGUUCAUAAUGGGCUACACAGUGUGGAGUCUAAAGCCCUCUGCCCACUGCGGGCCUUUCCAAGGAUUGGAUGCGCCCAUAGAUGCCGUGUCCAAGCUUGUGAUUCAGGGCAAGCUCCUGUUAUUGCUUCUAUCGAUCAUGCUCAUCGUCCUGUAUUUUUUCUGGCAAGUGGUUCAGGACCGGAAACGGCUCAUCAGCCUCCUGCGUGAGCAGAUCAUCAACGAGGGGAAAGACAAGGCCUUCCUGCUGGGGAAACUGCGCAUGGCACAGGGGGGCACGGCCAGACCUCAGGUGCACUUCCUGGAUGAGGGGGCACAGGCUGUCAAAAGGCCGACGACGUUCAGAGUGCCCCAGAGCACGGCAGGCCCCAGGGGGCUCAGAAAGGGUAGUAGAGUAGGGCCAAGCAGGCCAGCAGCAGCAGAGAGUGCCCAGGCGUCCGCCCCAGCCCCGACCCCAGUGCAGCCCACGCCUGCCGCGUCUGUGGAGUCUCCACAACAGCAGCCGCAGCGCGCGUCUGAUCGGAGAGCCUCCACUGCGGCACGGGGGAACAGCCCGGCGCGGUCAGCCGGCCAAGGCCAAAGCCCCCGCGCCGCCCCCGGGGAGAGGCAGCCGGAGAGCCCCGGUGUGGGUAGGGGCAGCCGGGUGGAGUGCUGGGUGGAGGACGAGAGGCCGGACAAGCAGGGCUCCUCCCCAGCUCCUCCGCCUCCUGCUGCUGGGGGCAGCACGACCACAACACCCCCGAGGUUCCCCCGACUAGAGCCCCUUACUACGCGUGGUGCCCAGGCAGCACUGACCAGACUGUCAGACAGGACUCCCAGACCCAAACGCUGACAUGAAUCACAUCAGGGAAAUCAGGGGUUACUUUUAUGUCAGAUAGAUUACAUUUUCUUUAUUGGUGGUAUUCUAGAAUUCUUAGUCUUUGGGCCUAAUUUCCAGUGGCUAUGAAGAUGAUGCUGAAAUUGUUAGCUGCGAUUAUUGUAUGCUUUGUUUUUGGAACUUACAUGUUCACUUUUUCUCUAUGUGUUUUCUCCUCAGGAGUGUUGUGAUGAUUUCAGUUCUUGAUUCCAUCAUAUUGGAUUAAUAGGGUGUCGCCCUGCUUUGGACAGUUCCAUCUUCUUCAGGUUGACCCUCGGACUGGGAGGAGAUACAGAAAUAAACAUUCUGCAGCUUUCCAGUGCAGUGA
This is an RNA transcript of Alosa sapidissima (American shad), 3303 nucleotides long. It is a transcript of the gene named transmembrane channel like 5, with no coding region annotated. The record is from RefSeq and is a predicted model, not a curated record. The transcript has 22 exons. NCBI's taxonomy places the organism in Eukaryota, Metazoa, Chordata, Actinopteri, Clupeiformes, Clupeidae.